RNAcentral lists this ribosomal RNA (497 nucleotides) under uncultured bacterium. Its description in RNAcentral is "partial 16S ribosomal RNA". It matches the Rfam family "Bacterial small subunit ribosomal RNA", at positions 28 to 507 of the family's 1533-position model. The record is from RNAcentral.
GAUGAACGCUGGCGGCGUGCCUAAUACAUGCAAGUCGAGCGAACAGACGCGAAGCUUGCUUCUCUGAUGUUAGCGGCGCACGGGUGAGUCACACGUGUAUCCCCUACCUAUCAGACUGGGAUAACUUCGGGACACCGGCGCUAAUACCGGAUAAUAUUUUGAACCGCAUGGUUCAAUAGUGAAAGACGGUCUUGCUGUCACUACUAGAUGGAUCUGCGCUGCAUUAGCUAGUUGUUAAGGUAACGGCUUACCAAGGCAACGAUGCAUAGCCGACCGGCGAGGGUGAUCGGCCACACUGGAAGGGAGACACGGUCAAGACGCCUAAGGGAGGCAGCAGUCGGGAAUGUGAGGCAGUGGGCGAAAGCCUGACGGAGCAAGGGCGCGUGAGUGAUGAAGGUCUUCGGAUCGGAAAACUGUGUUAUUAGGGAAGAACAGAUGUGUAAGGAGCUGUGGAGAUCGUGACGGUACCGAAUCAGAAAGCACCGGCUAACUACGUG